RNAcentral lists this transfer RNA (67 nucleotides) under Thinonoma atra. RNAcentral describes it as "tRNA-Glu". It matches the Rfam family "tRNA". Rfam says of the family: Transfer RNA (tRNA) molecules are approximately 80 nucleotides in length. Their secondary structure includes four short double-helical elements and three loops (D, anti-codon, and T loops). Lineage: Eukaryota; Metazoa; Arthropoda; Insecta; Coleoptera; Staphylinidae. The record is from RNAcentral.
AUUUAUAUAGUUUAAUAAAAACAUUACAUUUUCAUUGUAAAAUUAAGAAUUCUUUUCUUUAUAAAUA